RNAcentral lists this ribosomal RNA (372 nucleotides) under Escherichia coli. Its description in RNAcentral is "partial 23S ribosomal RNA". It matches the Rfam family "Bacterial large subunit ribosomal RNA", at positions 1195 to 1569 of the family's 2925-position model. The record is from RNAcentral. Lineage: Bacteria; Pseudomonadati; Pseudomonadota; Gammaproteobacteria; Enterobacterales; Enterobacteriaceae.
CGAAGCUGCGGCAGCGACACUAUGUGUUGUUGGGUAGGGGAGCGUUCUGUAAGCCUGUGAAGGUGUGCUGUGAGGUAUGCUGGAGGUAUCAGAAGUGCGAAUGCUGACAUAAGUAACGAUAAAGCGGGUGAAAAGCCCGCUCGCCGGAAGACCAAGGGUUCCUGUCCAACGUUAAUCGGGGCAGGGUGAGUCGACCCCUAAGGCGAGGCCGAAAGGCGUAGUCGAUGGGAAACAGGUUAAUAUUCCUGUACUUGGUGUUACUGCGAAGGGGGGACGGAGAAGGCUAUGUUGGCCGGGCGACGGUUGUCCCGGUUUAAGCGUGUAGGCUGGUUUUCCAGGCAAAUCCGGAAAAUCAAGGCUGAGGCGUGAUGA